Cryptotermes secundus is the source of this 6732-nucleotide RNA transcript. It is a transcript of the gene named chromodomain-helicase-DNA-binding protein Mi-2 homolog, with no coding region annotated. The transcript is spliced from 38 exons. The record is from RefSeq and is a predicted model, not a curated record. NCBI's taxonomy places the organism in Eukaryota, Metazoa, Arthropoda, Insecta, Blattodea, Kalotermitidae.
UGGUCUUCAAGGUACCACAAGCAAAGAGUGGGUUGAGUACAGAUUAUGAAUUUACAAUAUUAUUAAGUUUUUAUAUUUUCCGAUUAUUAUUACAGAAGUCUUCUAACAUAAGGACAACAUCAGUAGAUCCACUCUAUGGCAUCAGAUGAGGUGGAUGAUGAAUCUUUUGGAGGUGGUGAUGAUGACCUAGGAGAUGAGGGUGGAACAAGAAUGUCUAGGCCUGAUGGCACAACUGAAGAAAAUUCUCCAGAAUCAGAAGAGGGACAGCCUGGAGGAGAUGAUGAUGAUGACUACGAACCUGAAGAUGGACGAAAUAAACGGAAAAAAGGAAAAAAGAGGAAAGCUAGGAGUGAGGACAAAAAGGGAAGAAAGAAGAAGAAGAAGAAAAAGGCAGAUAGUGGAGAUGAGAGUGAUUAUGGAUUUGAUGAUGAUGGUGGUGGAAAUGACUCUGAUUUUGUUGGUGGAAGUAGUAGUCGUAAGUCACGGAAGUCUCGAGGAAGUCAGAAGCACACUCAACAAGCACCACCAGUACAGGAUUCAAAUUCAGGUAUGCCAACAGUGGAGGAAGUAUGUAUGACAUUUGGAUUGACUGAUGUUGAUGUGGAGUAUACGGAGGCAGACUUCCAGAACCUUACAACAUACAAGCUGUUCCAGCAGCAUGUGAGGCCAAUGUUAGGCAAGGAAAACCCUAAGGUUCCAAUGUCUAAGCUUAUGAUGUUAGUGGCAGCUAAGUGGCGAGACUUCACCAAUAUCAACCCCAACACAGAGCAGGAACCUGAAUCUGUAUCAGAAGAGAGCUAUGGACGCAAGGCAAGCCGAUCUAGGACUUCCAAGGACAGUUCAAAGGCGGAUUCAGACCUUGGAGGUCUAGAUGAUGAUGAUGACGAUGAGAGAGAAGAGAAAAUCAAGAAGAAACGUGGUCGAAGUGGAAAGAAAAGUGGAACCAGUGGUAGUAGCAGUAAGAAGAGUGCAAGCAAGGUGCCCACUCUCAAGAUUAAACUUGGGAAACGCAAGCGUGGCAGUUCGGAGGACGAGGGUGAUGCGAGUGGAGGAGUGAGCGACCGAGACUCUGAUGCGGAGUUUGAACAGAUGUUAGCAGAAGCAGAGGAAGCAAAUAAGAUCUCUGCAGAAGCUGAUGAUGAUGAUAUUGGUGGAGAGUCAAAUGUGGAGGAAGAAAGUGCAGGAAGUGGUGAUACACCUCCAUCAAGCCAAGCACCUAAUCAGGCACCUGUAAGGCGCAAAGCUAAAACAAAAAUCGGCAACAAAAGCAAGAAAAAGAAAAAGACCAAAACCACGUCCAAAUUUCCAGGUGGCGAUGGUGAGGAUGGCUAUGAGACGGAUCAUCAAGAUUAUUGUGAAGUUUGUCAGCAAGGUGGUGAAAUUAUUUUAUGUGAUACAUGCCCUAGAGCAUACCAUCUUGUGUGUCUGGACCCAGAAUUGGAGGAAACUCCAGAGGGCAAGUGGUCGUGUCCUCACUGUGAGGGAGAGGGAAUACAAGAGCAGGAUGAUGACGAGCACAUGGAGUUCUGCAGGGUUUGUAAAGAUGGUGGUGAAUUGUUGUGUUGUGAUUCCUGUCCAUCUGCUUACCACACAUUCUGCCUAAAUCCACCACUCACAGACAUUCCUGAUGGUGACUGGAAAUGUCCAAGAUGCUCGGCAAAGCCACUGCCAGGAAAAGUUGCUAAGAUCCUUACUUGGCGUUGGGCAGAGCCAAAGAAGUCGGAUGGUAAAGAAGAGGAGGAUAAGCCAUCCGAGGAACCAUCAACAAGCAGACGUCCUCCUCGAACACCAAAACCACAGAGGGAAUUUUUUGUCAAGUGGCAUGAAAAGUCUUACUGGCACUGUGAGUGGGUCUCGGAGUUGCAGAUGGAUGUAUUCCAUCCCCUGAUGAUCCGGAAUUACAUGCGCAAAUAUGACAUGGAUGAACCUCCAAAAUUGGAGGAACCAAUUGAUGAACUGGAUAACCGAAUGAAGAGAAUCAAAGAAGCUAAUGCAGAUGAUUCUGCACUAGAGGAUAAGUACUACAGGUAUGGUAUUAAGCCAGAAUGGAUGAUUGUUCAUCGAAUUAUUAACCAUCGAACAAUGCGUGAUGGCCGAACUCUGUACCUGGUGAAAUGGCGAGAUCUGUCCUAUGAUCAAGCUACUUGGGAAGAGGAAAAUGAGAGCAUUCUUGGUUUGAAACAGGCCAUUGACUUCUACAUGGAUUUGAGAGCAUCUUGUAAUGUUGAUGGGUCAGGUAGAAAGGGGAAGAAAGGGAAGGGAAAGAGAACAAAGACAAGGGAACUGCAAGAUGAGGAUGGAGACAAGACACCACGGUACACACCACCACCUGAGAAGCCGCUGACAGACCUAAAGAAGAAGUUGGAUAAACAGCCGGAUUAUAUUGACCAAACUGGUAUGCAGCUUCAUCCAUAUCAGUUGGAGGGUCUCAACUGGCUUCGUUAUUCAUGGGGACAAGGCAUUGAUACCAUCCUGGCAGAUGAGAUGGGUCUUGGUAAGACCAUCCAGACGAUUACAUUCCUUUACUCUCUCUACAAAGAAGGGCAUUGUAAAGGCCCAUUUCUGCUCAGUGUACCUCUUUCAACCAUCAUUAAUUGGGAACGUGAGUUUGAGACAUGGGCUCCAGAUUUCUACGUAGUGACCUACGUUGGAGAUAAAGACUCGAGGGCUGUAAUCCGUGAAAAUGAAUUGUCAUUUGAAGAAGGUGCAGUAAGGGGCGGUAGAGCUUCUCGGAUUAGAUCAAAUACUAUCAAGUUUAAUGUCCUGCUCACUAGCUAUGAGCUAAUCUCGAUUGAUGCAGCAUGUCUUGGAUCCAUUGACUGGGCAGUCUUGGUUGUUGAUGAAGCACAUCGACUCAAGAGUAAUCAGUCAAAAUUCUUCCGCUUGCUGGCAAGCUACAACAUUACGUACAAGUUGUUGCUGACAGGUACACCUCUACAAAAUAACUUGGAGGAAUUGUUUCAUCUGCUCAAUUUCCUGUGCCGAGAGAAAUUUAAUGAUUUGGCAGCCUUCCAGAAUGAAUUUGCUGAUAUUUCAAAGGAGGAUCAAGUUAAGAAGCUACAUGAAAUGUUGGGUCCUCACAUGCUGCGACGCCUUAAAACUGAUGUCCUGAAGAGCAUGCCAUCCAAGUCAGAGUUUAUUGUGAGAGUAGAACUGUCACCAAUGCAGAAGAAGUACUACAAGUUCAUCCUGACAAGGAACUUUGAGGCUCUAAAUCCUAAAGGUGGUGGCCAGCAGGUGUCAUUAUUAAAUAUAAUGAUGGACCUGAAGAAGUGCUGCAACCAUCCUUACCUAUUUCCAGCAGCUGCACAAGAGGCUCCUACUACUCCAAAUGGAACCUAUGAAACUACAGCACUCACGAAGGCUUCUGGCAAGCUGGUGUUGCUCUCUACCAUGUUACGUAAACUCAAGGAACAAGGCCACAGGGUAUUGAUUUUCUCACAAAUGACAAAGAUGCUGGAUAUUUUGGAAGAUUACUUAGAGGGCGAAGGCUAUAAAUAUGAGAGAAUUGACGGUAAUAUCACUGGAUCUGUGAGACAGGAGGCUAUUGAUAGAUUCAAUGCUCCUGGAGCACAACAGUUUGUAUUUCUGCUCUCCACAAGGGCAGGAGGUCUAGGUAUCAAUUUGGCAACAGCCGACACAGUUAUAAUCUAUGACUCAGAUUGGAAUCCACACAAUGACAUCCAAGCUUUCUCCAGAGCUCAUCGAAUUGGUCAGGCUAAUAAGGUUAUGAUCUAUCGAUUUGUGACACGUAACUCGGUUGAGGAGCGUGUAACACAGGUGGCAAAACGAAAGAUGAUGUUGACUCACCUGGUUGUGCGACCUGGUAUGGGAGGACGUGGUGCCACCUUCUCGAAGCAAGAGCUUGAUGAUAUCCUGCGUUUUGGAACAGAAGAGCUCUUCAAAGAGGAAGAAGGUAAGGAGGAUGAAGCAAUCCAUUAUGAUGAUAAAGCAAUCGAUGAGCUUCUGGACAGAUCAAAGGAAGGUAUUGAGCAGAAAGAGAACUGGGCAAAUGAAUACUUGUCAUCCUUCAAGGUUGCCAGCUAUGUCACCAAGGAAGGGGAGGAGGAAGAAGAACCUACAGAGAUCAUCAAACAGGAAGCAGAGAAUACUGAUCCUGCAUACUGGGUGAAGUUGCUCCGUCACCAUUAUGAACAGCAGCAGGAAGAUAUGGCGAGGACACUUGGCAAGGGCAAACGUGUGCGCAAACAGGUUAACUACAAUGAUGGUACAGUAGAAGGUAGAGACGAUGCUACCUGGCAAGAAAACCUCUCAGAUUACAACUCUGACUUCUCAGCUCCAUCUGAUGAUGACAAAGAAGAUGAUGAUUUUGAUGAGAAAACUGAUGGUGAGCCUGGACGUCGUAGUCGCCGCCGUCUUGAACGUAGAGAUGAGAGGGACCGUCCAUUACCUCCAUUGUUGGCACGUGUUGGUGGUAACAUUGAGGUUCUGGGUUUUAAUGCACGACAAAGAAAAGCUUUUCUUAAUGCCAUUAUGCGAUAUGGCAUGCCACCUCAAGAUGCCUUCAAUUCUCAGUGGUUGGUGCGUGACCUGCGAGGGAAGUCUGAGAAAAACUUCAAAGCCUAUGUUUCACUGUUCAUGCGCCACCUUUGUGAACCUGGUGCUGACAAUGCUGAGACAUUUGCAGAUGGUGUCCCUCGGGAAGGCCUCAGUCGACAGCAUGUGCUAACAAGAAUUGGUGUUAUGUCCCUCAUACGUAAAAAGGUUCAGGAAUUUGAACAUAUCAAUGGUUACUACAGUAUGCCCGAGAUGAUCCGUAAACCCAUAGAACCUAUCAAAGUAGGCAGUGGUGUAAUCCCGCCAGGCAUAGAACAAGGUGGCGAGAUGCCUCGCAGUGCCACUACGAGUACCAGUGCCACUCCUGCAACAAGUGCUGCAGCAAGCCCUGCUCCUACACUUAAUAGUCAAGAUGAGAGCAAGGAUAAGGAGGGAGAGGACAGUACAAGUAAAGAAGAACCAGGUAAAGAUAAAGAAAUGCCCAAAGAGGAAACGAAGGAAGUUUCUGAAGUAAGGAAGGAAGAAGCAGAAGAAGAUGGGGAGGAAAAGGAGACAGAAAAGGAAGAAACUGAUGAGAAGGAAGGAGAAGGCAAGGAGAAAGUGGCAAGUACAGAGGAUGAGAAGUCUGAAGAGGUAGAUAUAAGUGAAAAGAAAGAGAGUACUCCAAGUGAGGAAUUAAAAGCUGAUGAAAUUCCAGUCAAAGAGGAGAAAGGGAAAGAAGAAGAUACUUCAGAUGAAGAGAAGAGCAAGCCUGUUACACCCAAGGAUGAGUCAAAGAAGGAUGAUGAUGAUAUCGUUGUUGUCAAAGAUGAAGGUGAAGAUCAUAAGGAUGAGAAGAAAGAAGGUAUAAAAGAGGAUAAAAAGGAGGAGAAGGAAGAGGGUAAAGGAGUAGAUGACAUUGACAAACCUAAACGCAAGUUCAUGUUCAAUAUUGCUGAUGGAGGUUUUACAGAGCUACACACACUUUGGCUUAAUGAGGAGAAAGCAGCUGUUCCUGGACGAGAAUAUGAAAUCUGGCAUAGAAGACAUGACUACUGGCUUCUGGCAGGCAUUGUAACUCAUGGAUAUGGGCGCUGGCAGGACAUCCAGAAUGACAUACGAUUUGCCAUCAUCAAUGAACCUUUCAAGAUGGAUGUUGGCAAGGGAAACUUCCUAGAGAUAAAGAACAAAUUUCUUGCGAGAAGGUUUAAGCUCCUGGAACAAGCACUUGUAAUCGAGGAACAGUUACGGAGAGCAGCCUAUCUGAACUUGACGCAGGACCCAAAUCAUCCUGCAAUGUCACUGAACGCUAGGUUUGCUGAAGUGGAGUGCCUUGCAGAAUCACACCAGCAUCUAUCGAAGGAAAGCUUGGCAGGAAACAAGCCUGCCAAUGCAGUGCUUCACAAGGUUCUGAACCAACUGGAGGAACUCUUGUCAGACAUGAAAUCAGAUGUGAGUCGCCUUCCAGCCACUCUGGCACGGAUCCCACCAGUGGCACAGCGGUUACAGAUGUCAGAGAGAUCUAUCUUAUCACGUCUGGCUGCAACAACCACUGCUGGAUCAACUCCCACUACCCCCACCACCUCCCAGCAAGGACCUGCAGGUUUGCUGAGCAGUCAGUUCCCAGGGGGCUUCCAAGCUGGCCAACUUCCAGCUGGUUUUGCCACUGCUAACUUUGCCAGUUUCCGGCCACAGUACUCUGUCCCAGGACAACCCACACAAGGAUUUCCUGAAACGUCACCCGAUAUCGAUGUCUCUCGAGUGCCGUUGUUUCACGACGGCAACUGGAGGGAAUCGUGGUAGAGCACAAACCACAACAAUCAACAUUCACAGAAAAUAAUUAUUAAAAAUUAUGCUCACUAAACGAACUGCUCAGUGAAUUGAAGCUGGCUAUUCAGUGUAGAUUACAAAAAAGCUUACAAGGACAUGUGUAGAUGGAACGAAUUGUUAGAACAGCUGUUGAGUAUUCCACUUCGUCUUUGAAAGAAACUAAAUCUUAUAACUCUUAAUAAUGGAUCUCAGAAACAGUUGAAGACAUUAUUCUUUUUUAAAUUAUUGUUGGGUGUACCUACUCUAGCACAGUUGACUGUAUCUCCUGACACCAUGUUUAGUGAAUUUUAUAAGUGAAACAAGUUAUCCAUCACUAAGCUGUCAGGGGUCACAUAUUUUGAGGUUGUAUUAGUUACAUUUUGAUAGGAUUUUUAAUUUAUACAUUAUUAAAAGUGUGUGACUGAA